UGGGGAAUAUUGGACAAUGGGCGCAAGCCUGAUCCAGCAAUGCCGCGUGUGUGAAGAAGGCCUUCGGGUUGUAAAGCACUUUUAUCAGGAGCGAAACGCUGUCGGCUAAUACCCGGCGGAACUGACGGUACCUGAGGAAUAAGCACCGGCUAACUUCGUGCCAGCAGCCGCGGUAAUACGAAGGGUGCAAGCGUUAAUCGGAAUUACUGGGCGUAAAGCGUGCGUAGGCGGUUUCUUAAGUCUGCUGUGAAAUCCCCGGGCUCAACCUGGGAAUGGCAGUGGAUACUGGGAGGCUAGAGUGUGUCAGAGGGUGGUGGAAUUCCCGGUGUAGCGGUGAAAUGCGUAGAGAUCGGGAGGAACAUCAGUGGCGAAGGCGGCCACCUGGGACAACACUGACGCUGAGGCACGAAAGCGUGGGGAGCAAACAGGAUUAGAUACCCUGGUAGUCCACGCCCUAAAACGAUGCGAACUGGAUGUUGGUCUCAACUCGGAGAUCAGUGUCGAAGCUAACGCGUUAAGUUCGCCGCCUGGGGAGUACGGUCGCAAGACUGAAACUCAAAUGAAUUGACGGGGUCAUAGCUGUUUCCUG
This 589-nucleotide ribosomal RNA is filed under the name uncultured bacterium. RNAcentral's name for it is "partial 16S ribosomal RNA". It matches the Rfam family "Bacterial small subunit ribosomal RNA", at positions 355 to 1376 of the family's 1533-position model. The record is from RNAcentral.